AAUCACCCAAAACCGACAGAGAUUCUUAGAACGUUGGGGUCACGAAGAUACAUCCGGAUAUCAUGGUGUAAAACACUCUGAGCCAUGUCCGAUCAAAGUCGGAAGCAUCAUCGACCGGUCGGUCUCAGAUAAAUCCUCAAAAAACCGUCAAACAAAUGCUCAAAAGAGACACCGAUAUGCAAAUAAACAUGAUCGGAUCGUUGUAAGGCUCUGAUACCAUGUCAAUAUUCAGAUUAACCGAGAAAAUCACAGAGAAUCUAGAGAGGGAAAGUAGAGGGAAGGAGGAGAGAUUGACAGAACCGAAGAAUCGGUAUUGGGAAAUGAAAUAAAAAUCUGAUCUCUAGAAGCUACUUCUCACCUAACUAUACAGAUGUAUAUACAAAAUAACAAACUGGGCGGGUCGGAUAUUGGGUAGGAGACCCGGGCUCAGAUAUGACCCAUUAGGCUCAUAAGUNNN
Molecule: long non-coding RNA, 457 nt
Filed under: Nicotiana benthamiana
Lineage: Eukaryota; Viridiplantae; Streptophyta; Magnoliopsida; Solanales; Solanaceae
Description: long non-coding RNA (NBEN_LNC005385)
Source: RNAcentral